This 454-nucleotide long non-coding RNA is filed under the name Mus caroli (Ryukyu mouse). RNAcentral's name for it is "predicted gene 28404 (MGP_CAROLIEiJ_G0034424.1)". Lineage: Eukaryota; Metazoa; Chordata; Mammalia; Rodentia; Muridae. The record is from RNAcentral.
CUACAACAUGACGAACUGUAUUAAAGGGUCACAGUGUUAGGAAGGUUAAGAACCACUGCUCUAAAGCAUGAGAAGGUAGAUAAGAGCCAGUGUCCAGUAUAGACCAGUGUGGCUUCUGAAGAUAACAACUAUUGCCAACUACAAUAGGCUAUUCAAAGCUGGAGGACUCUGUACUUUGCUCAAUGUAGCUCGUUUGUGUCUUUGUUCCUUGAAAAAAAUUAUUCCUUUAAUACAUUUUAAAAUGUGCUUUAAUUUGAGGUGUAACUUGGGUGGAACGCUUGUCCAAUAUGUGCUAGGCCUCAACACCACCAAAAGAAAAAGACAAAAGUCUUCACUUCAACUUGUUUAUUAUUAGUUUAAUAUACAUUUUUUAUUUUUGUUCUUAUGUGCAUUGAAAUUAAGAUAAUUCUCUUAAUAAAAGAAACUUGAGAGUAUUUCCAAAAAAGUUAAAAAA